RNAcentral lists this long non-coding RNA (791 nucleotides) under Salmo salar (Atlantic salmon). RNAcentral describes it as "lncRNA (ENSSSAG00000104751.1)". Lineage: Eukaryota; Metazoa; Chordata; Actinopteri; Salmoniformes; Salmonidae. The record is from RNAcentral.
GCAUGAUCACAACAAAAGUAGCUGUGCAGCACGUUUUUUUAAUGAAGAGGAGGAUGGUUGUAGACGUUCACAUUCCUGCAAGAAGGCACUGCAGAGGCUCAGAAGACACAUGGAAACUCUAAAAGAAACAUAAUUCAACUUGUAGGCCAGAUUUGAAAAGGAAAUAAUAAAUCCCGAAGCUCAGAUGUCAGACACCGAGGCUGCCAGUACCUCUGGGUCGAUAGUCCAUGUGUUGGAUGAUGCACUGCCGUUGAUCAGAACAAGUUAGUAACUUGACCAAAGCUAUGCUUGGAUACAAGACUGAUGACUCAAUAACCAAUAUUGACAACAGUGAAGAUGGUUGUGUCCCAGGGCCAUCAGAGGAAGGCAAUUUCUAUGAAGAAAAUCUGACCGGAGAGAUGUCAGCGAUUCGGGCCAAUGACCAAGGGAAAGCUGGGACAAAAGAGAGGCUCACACAGUGCCAAAGGAACAAAAAGGCAGAGCAUGCAACAGAUGGCACACAGACAGCAGAGUUGGGGACAGCUAUGCAGGGACAGACUGGCAGAGACAGGGAGUCUCAGGUAAGUUUGUUGAGUCUUUGUUUGGCAACAUUAUGAAAGGUUCUCAAUUUUUUUGACUUGUAAAAUAGGAACAUAAUUGGAAAAUGCCAUGGAUACCCCCACUCUCAACUUAAACUGGUGACUGAACUAAGAUUUGUUAAAGGCAAUGGUAUUGCUGUUGUGAUUAGUUGUGUAGUUUUGGGUACCGGUAGUUAGGAGUACGGCAAACACCUUAUUUCUUUGGUUCCUCAA